UUGAUUUAGUGAGAACAAUGAGCAUGUCAACAGACAAGGAUAUCCUGAAGCAGUUGCG
This 58-nucleotide transfer RNA is filed under the name Chloropicon mariensis. RNAcentral describes it as "partial Selenocysteine transfer RNA". The record is from RNAcentral. Lineage: Eukaryota; Viridiplantae; Chlorophyta; Chloropicophyceae; Chloropicales; Chloropicaceae.